CCGCACAAGCGGUGGAGCAUAGUGGUUAAUUCGAUGCAACGCGAAGAACCUUACCUGGUCUUGACAUCCCGGAGACCCUUAGGAAACUAGGGGUGCUUCCAUCUGGAAGAAUCUGGAGACAGGUGCUGCAUGGCUGUCGUCAGCUCGUGUCGUGAGAUGUUGGGUUAACGUCCCGCAACGAGCGCAACCCUUGCCUUUAGUUGCCAGCAGUUCGGCUGGGCACUCUAAAGGGACUGCCGGUGUUAAACCGGAGGAAGGUGGGGAUGACGUCAAGUCCUCAUGGCCUUUAUGACCAGGGCUACACACGUACUACAAUGGCCGAUACAAAGGGCAGCGACACUGCGAGGUGAAGCCAAUCCCGUAAAAUCGGUCUCAGUCCGGAUUGGAGUCUGCAACUCGACUCCAUGAAGUUGGAAUCGCUAGUAAUCGUGGAUCAGCAUGCCACGGUGAAUACGUUCCCGGGCCUU
This 467-nucleotide ribosomal RNA is filed under the name uncultured Desulfobulbus sp. RNAcentral's name for it is "bacterial SSU rRNA". It matches the Rfam family "Bacterial small subunit ribosomal RNA", at positions 921 to 1382 of the family's 1533-position model. Lineage: Bacteria; Pseudomonadati; Thermodesulfobacteriota; Desulfobulbia; Desulfobulbales; Desulfobulbaceae. The record is from RNAcentral.